Molecule: ribosomal RNA, 255 nt
Filed under: uncultured bacterium
Lineage: Bacteria
Description: partial 16S ribosomal RNA
Rfam family: Bacterial small subunit ribosomal RNA
Source: RNAcentral
GACGGAGGGGGCUAGCGUUUGUUCGGAAUUACUGGGCGUAAAAGCGCACGUAGGCGGCCUUUCAAGUCAGAUGUGAAAGCCCCGGGCUUAACCCGGGAAUUGCAUUUGAUACUGUUGGGCUUGAGACCGGGAGAGGAUAGCGGAAUUCCCAGUGUAGAGGUGAAAUUCGUAGAUAUUGGGAAGAACACCAGUGGCGAAGGCGGCUAUCUGGACCGGUACUGACGCUGAGGUGCGAAAGCGUGGGGAGCAAACAGG